RNAcentral lists this long non-coding RNA (975 nucleotides) under Rattus norvegicus (Norway rat). RNAcentral's name for it is "long non-coding RNA NONRATT026127". Lineage: Eukaryota; Metazoa; Chordata; Mammalia; Rodentia; Muridae. The record is from RNAcentral.
CGAUCCCUCCGCACUCCGGAACGUGACUUCAGUUGGUCGCAAACCUAUAAAGUAGUGCACUUUUCUUCCUUCAUGGGGCCUUCAGGAUACUCUGUAACGCCCCAGUUACUCCCCGAGCACAGCGGAGAAGGGUUUGGACGGGCCAGAGCGUCAAUGGGAUAGGGUUAGGUGGAGCGGCGGCGGGAUCACGUGACCACGGUGGGAGGAUACGGGGUGUACUGCGUCCCUCACCGAUUCUAUAAAAGGCGGGUUUAGGGCGUGUCGCCGCCAUUUCUGCUUGCUCUGUGGUAGAUGUCUCUCUGUACGCUGUUCCUUUCCUCUUCCCCUCCCGCAGGGCUUGCGGCCACCAUGGCGUAUUAGAGGCAGCAGAGCCUGCGGCAGCGUUGGCCUUUGCAGCGGCGGCAGCAGCACCAGGCUCUGCAGCGGCAACCCCCACCGGCUUAAGCCAUGGCGCUCUUCACGAAACCCAGCAGCAGCGUUGCUGUAACGGACAAAGAUACCUUCGAGUUAAGCACAUUCCUCGAUACCAGCAAAUCCCUACAACAUGACCGAGAUGAGCUUCCUGAACAGCGAAGUGUUGGCGGGGGACUUAAUGUCCCCCUUCGACCAGUCGGGUUUGGGGGCUGAAGAAAGCCUAGGUCUCUUAGAUGACUAUCUGGAGGUGGCCAAGCACUUCAAACCUCAUGGGUUCUCCAGCGACAAGGCGGGCUCCUCAGAAUGGCUGGCUAUGGAUGGGUUGGUCAGUGCCUCAGACACCGGCAAGGGUGAGUAGGGAGGACACCUGCACCAGUGUGCUCUUUUCAUGUGGGUUUGGUGUUCUAAAGGUUUUCUGCCUCUAGUAUGAACCGUUCUCUCCUGAAAUUUUUUUCCCCAGAGGAUGCCUUUUCCGGGACAGAUUGGAUGUUGGAGAAAAUGGACCUGAAAGAGUUUGACUUCGAUGCUCUGUUUCGAAUGGAUGACCUGGAAACCAUGCCA